UACGUAGGGGGCUAGCGUUGUCCGGAAUCAUUGGGCGUAAAGCGCGUGUAGGCGGUCCGGUAAGUCCGCUGUGAAAGUCGGGGGCUCAACCCUCGGAUGCCGGUGGAUACUGUCGGGCUUGAGUACGGAAGAGGCGAGUGGAAUUCCUGGUGUAGCGGUGAAAUGCGCAGAUAUCAGGAGGAACACCGGUGGCGAAAGCGACUCUCUGGACGGUAACUGACGCUGAGGCACGAAAGCGUGGGGAGCAAACAGG
Molecule: ribosomal RNA, 253 nt
Filed under: uncultured bacterium
Lineage: Bacteria
Description: partial 16S ribosomal RNA
Rfam family: Bacterial small subunit ribosomal RNA
Source: RNAcentral